Anopheles funestus (African malaria mosquito) is the source of this 1332-nucleotide RNA transcript. It is a transcript of the gene named D-aminoacyl-tRNA deacylase 1-like, with no coding region annotated. Lineage: Eukaryota; Metazoa; Arthropoda; Insecta; Diptera; Culicidae. The record is from RefSeq and is a predicted model, not a curated record. The transcript is spliced from 2 exons.
CUCCGAAGGAUUCUCGUUCUGUCUUAUGAACAAUCAAACCUACCAAAGCGAGAAAGCAUGUUGGUUUGACUGGUUGGGAAUACAUAUAUCAAGGAAAUAUUUCACUAGCUGCAAUUUAUUCCUUUAAUUUAUGUAGCAUUUUCACCGGGGGAGCAAAGUGACAACUGGCUGAUAGAUCCUCGUGCGAUCUGACAUAUUGAAUGUUGUGCUGCAAAUAAGCCGGCAUCGUGAAGGUAGCUGUUUUAUAACAAUUUUACGAAUAUUAUUACUAGUUUUCCGAAAUAUUUGCAAUGAAAGCUAUAACACAACGUGUCAACUCAGCGAAAGUGAUGGGUUUGUAUCCGUUUCAAAGCUUCAUUGUUCUUCUAGAUCCAUAACGAAAACACGCGGCUUUGCAGCUGGUGACGAAACAGUAAGCUCGAUUGGCCGUGGACUAUGUAUGCUAGUAGGCAUUUCAUCCGAUAACGAUGCAAAUGAUAUCGAUUGGAAAUGGUUCCGCCUACUUAUAGCGCACGAAAGUUCCUCAAUCUACGGCUGUUCGAUGAGACAGCUACCGGAAACCGGUGGACAGAAUCGUUGGCUGCACCUGGAAAUACUGUGCGUUAGUCUGAUUGCGCUGUACCAUCGUUCGAAGGGUAACAGACCGGACUUUAGUCGAGCCAUGCAGUGACAGGAUGCACAUCAGCCGUACAGAUUGUUGCUGAAGCAGUUACGCGAACAGUGCAUUUUACAUAGGACGGUCGGCUUAGGACAAUGAUACCGGUAUACAUUCAAAACGACGGCCCCGUUACGCAGGAAAUCGAAUGAGAAAAUCGCACAGAGUGAACAAGAGUGCCAAAAGCUAAGGCGAACGAUGGACCUUAAAACCAAAUCAUCGGCAAACCAGACGGCAGCGUAGAAAGAACCGUGAAAAAUUUUACCAGUGCAGAAUGAAAAUCGAACUGUCUUGUUUUGGACGAAGAAAUUGGCCACAUUUGUAGAAUUUCGUCGCAGGAAAUGACUAUCAUCCAUACUAUGCGAUUAGCCAUCUGUCAAUUUACACCCCGGUGAAAAUGGUACACAUAUUAAUGGAAUAAAUUUGAAAUAUUUCCUUGAAAUACUUACCUUAUGAAAGAUUUUCUUGAAAUAAUUUAUGAAAGAAUUCAAUUAAGUGCUACCUCUUUGGUGGGAUGCUCUCUUGGUGUUAAAAAAUCGUUUUGGAUUUUUGUCGCUUCCAUCUCGCUUGUGGCAAAAUCGAACGGUGGUUUAUGUUACCUCUUUUGUAGGAUGCUUUCUUGUUAAAAUUUUUGCAUCGAUCACUAAUACCAAUAGAACCGCUAGAGGAGAGAAGUC